AAAAAAUAAUUUACUCUUCAAUUAAUAGGGACUUCUAAAAUGGGACAAUGGUCACCUUGAUGUCUAAUGUAUGAGCUACAUGAAAUUUACAAACCUUGUAAAAAGUUGCAGCUAAAAUAAUAUCACACGUUCGAUGUUUGUCUUUUGUACUCUAGCUCUUGUAAGUUUCUUUCUCGACCUGCAAACCAUUGAACUGUUCUCCUUGCUGUUGGUAACCAAAGCUUCCUUAUCCUGUCUUCCUUUUCACUACUACUCCUCGGAGAUAAGGAUUCUUUGAUUUUGUUCCUCACAUUUAGCUCCUUGAACCUUGAAUAGAUUGUAAUCUCAGACAUUGAUCUCAUCUCCGCAGGAUUAAUCAUUUGCCUUGAACUUUCCUCCUGAUAUGAAGUAGAGAGUAAACAUGAAGUUGAAAAUGAAUCACUUCUGUCAGCUUUGCUAAUCUUGGACUCGUAUAAUCUCUUCCUCUCUAGGUCCUCUUUGAUCUUUUCUAUAUUUUCAUUCAUGGAGAAUCCUGUACAGCUGCUUGAAUUUGCAGGGGAGAACCUGGUGCUUGACAUGACAUUAAGCAUCUCAGAGUUCAAGAACAACAAAUCUGAGGAAUUAACAUCACUCCAUCGGUUCUUGAUAAUAACAUCAGAAACAAUGAUCUUGUGCUUGAAUUUAUGCAGAAGUUCCUGGCUAUUAUUACCUUCUUGAUUUCACAAGUAAUAAUUCUUCAUUUUUUUCCUUUGUCAUUGCUUCCAAGGUUAAAUCUUGAUGACCCAUGAUAAUCUUGCUCUCUCUGGACGAAGAGUUCAAGAUUGGGAUCCUCAGAUAGAUUGGAAGGGUUCUGUAAGUAUCUCAAACUAUUGGAAAAGCUGAAGCUCUUGAGGUCCUUUGGAUCGAACUUGUACCUGCAGAGAGGACAGCUAGAGUGACUUUCUAGCCACUGGUCUAUGCAGUUCUUAUGAAAUGCAUGCUUACAGUUGGGCAACAAUCGAAGAAUCUCGGUUUCUUCGAAUAUUGAUAAGCAAACUGCACACUCUAAGCCUUGUUUUGAGCCCUUGAGAGAAGAAAACCUGAAAAAGGGGAGCGAAUCAAUCACCGCUCUAUCAAUGCCAGAAAAUCUAGACCUUGAACUACUGAGACCAAGGAAAUUUUGGUGAUUUGUGUCAUGGACUAAGAGAUCAUCAAUUGUGUUUCUGUGACAGAAUUUUGAAUAGGCAAGUAUGAGAAAAGUUACAGAAAGCAUAAUUGAGAUAAUGCCAAUGACUGCUGCGAGGGUUGGAUGGAGUGGAUUGAGGAUACCCGAAUGAGAAUUCCAUGUGUUUUGGGCUUUGACAUGGAAGAAGAAGCAAGGAAUUAUGAGGAACACUCCCAAUUGGUUCAUAGGAGAAAACGCAAAUUUUUAUUUUCUGAAUAAAUUCUUUUGCUUCUUGUAAACAGUAUGUAUGGAACUCGGCGACAUUAAUGGAUUUUUUUAGAAAGAUUUAAACUUAUAUGGG
RNAcentral lists this unclassified non-coding RNA (1484 nucleotides) under Hevea brasiliensis (rubber tree). Lineage: Eukaryota; Viridiplantae; Streptophyta; Magnoliopsida; Malpighiales; Euphorbiaceae. The record is from RNAcentral.